AUGUGUUAUAAUUCUAUGCCUGUUAAA
RNAcentral lists this non-coding RNA (27 nucleotides) under Bombyx mori (domestic silkworm). The record is from RNAcentral. Lineage: Eukaryota; Metazoa; Arthropoda; Insecta; Lepidoptera; Bombycidae.